AUCUAAAUAAUACUUCAAAACAUUUAUCUUAAUAUCUUAGUAUAGGUGAUAGAACAGAUUUAUUCUUAGGCACAAUAGAGAGAGUACCGUGAGGGAACGUUGAAAGAUCUUAUCCUGUAAGCAAUAAAAAGCAAAGAUUAAACCUUCUACCUUUUGCAUAAUGAUUUAGCUAGUCUAUCCGGACAAAAAGAAUUAAAGCCCGUCUUCCCGAAAUUAAGUGAGCUAUUGUAGAACAGUUGUUAGAACGAACUCGUCUAUGUAGCAAAAUAGUGAGAUGAUUUUACAAUAGAGGUGAAAAGCCUAUCGAACUUAAUGAUAGCUGGUUGUCCAAAAAGCGAAUUUUAGUUCAACUUUAAAUUUAACCAAAGUACUAAUAAACUGAAUUUAAAUUUAAAUGCUACUCAAAAGGGGGACAACUCUUUUGAUAUGUGAACAAACUUGCUUAGUGGGUAAUGGUAUACACAUAAUACAUUGUAGGCCUAAAAGCAGCCACCAAUUAAGAAAGCGUUAAAGCUCAAACUAGACUGUCAUUUAAUACCAAUCAUUUAUCAAAACCCCUAACUCAAUAUUGGACAAUUCUAUUAAUAUUUAGAAGAUAUAAUGCUAAUAUGAGUAACAUGAAUUUAUUCUCCUUGCAUAAGCAUAGAUACGACCGGAACAGCCGCUUACACUUAACCAACCAAAUAACUAUACCCAUAUACAAGCAUCCUAUUACCCUUAUUGUUAACCCAACUCAGGCAUGCAUUAAAGGAAAGAUUAAAAGAAAUAAAAGGAACUCGGCAAACAAAACCCCGCCUGUUUACCAAAAACAUCACCUCUAGCAUUUACCAGUAUUAGAGGCACUGCCUGCCCGGUGAGUUAUGACUUUAACGGCCGCGGUAUCCUGACCGUGCAAAGGUAGCAUAAUCACUUGUCUCUUAAUUGGAGACUAGUAUGAAUGGCAUGACGAGGGUUU
This 955-nucleotide ribosomal RNA is filed under the name Antechinus mimetes insulanus. RNAcentral's name for it is "partial 16S ribosomal RNA". The stretch from base 129 to 955 matches the Rfam family "Bacterial large subunit ribosomal RNA", at positions 568 to 2014 of the family's 2925-position model. The record is from RNAcentral. Lineage: Eukaryota; Metazoa; Chordata; Mammalia; Dasyuromorphia; Dasyuridae.